GCAUCAUUAAGUCAGGUCACAUAAACAAGUACUAUAUUAUACCAGUACGGAGCUGAACAAAUAACAAGUGAUUAAAACUAGUCAAGUCUGAAUAUUACACAACCCUGAACAUUACACAAUUCUGAACAUUACACUACUCAAGGUUACAGAAAUUUGAGAGAGAGAGAGAGAGAGAGAGAGAGAGAGAGAGAGAGAGAGAGAGAGAGAGAGAGAGAGAGAGAGAGAGAACAUCAGCAGGUUUUGGAAAAGGGGGAGGAAGAACAACAACAGAGAUGGUUCAGAGAUGAAGCAAGGGCAUCAGGGAGAGAAGAGCAGCAGCAGGUUCGUGGGAGAGGGAGCAGCAGCAGUUCGUUCAGAGAGAAGCAGCAACAGCGCUAAGGGAGAUGCAACAGAGAAGAGGCGGCAUCAGCAAGGGGAAGAAGAAGAAGAGCAGCAACACGGAGAUGGAGAAGCAAGAAAGGUGCAGCAGUACGUGAGAGAGAGAGAGAAGAAGUGAUGGUGGGGAGUGGUGGCGCUGGUGGAUGUGCUGGGUGGCACGGUGGUGCUGGUGAUGGCGCGGUGGCGCGACGGGCUGUGGAGGCGCACCACCACGCCGGCCUGGCCGUGGCGGCGGCCGGAGGUGGAGAAGGAGUGGUGAGAGGGAGAGAGAUGGAGAUGUGGCCAG
RNAcentral lists this ribosomal RNA (664 nucleotides) under Triticum aestivum (bread wheat). RNAcentral's name for it is "partial small subunit ribosomal RNA". The record is from RNAcentral. Lineage: Eukaryota; Viridiplantae; Streptophyta; Magnoliopsida; Poales; Poaceae.